This 402-nucleotide ribosomal RNA is filed under the name uncultured bacterium. RNAcentral's name for it is "bacterial SSU rRNA". It matches the Rfam family "Bacterial small subunit ribosomal RNA", at positions 362 to 757 of the family's 1533-position model. The record is from RNAcentral.
UUUUGGACAAUGGGCGCAAGCCUGAUCCAGCAAUGCCGCGUGGGUGAAGAAGGCCUUCGGGUUGUAAAGCUCUUUUGUCAGGGAAGAAACGGUGAGCUCUAAUACAGUUUGCUAAUGACGGUACCUGAAGAAUAAGCACCGGCUAACUACGUGCCAGCAGCCGCGGUAGUACGUAGGGUGCAAGCGUUAAUCGGAAUUACUGGGCGUAAAGCGUGCGCAGGCGGUUAUGUAAGUCAGAUGUGAAAUCCCCGGGCUCAACCUGGGAAUGGCAUUUGAGACUGCAUGGCUAGAGUGUGUCAGAGGGGGGUAGAAUUCCACGUGUAGCAGUGAAAUGCGUAGAGAUGUGGAGGAAUACCGAUGGCGAAGGCAGCCCCCUGGGAUAACACUGACGCUCAUCACGAA